AUAAUCGACUGAGCCAGCCAGGCUCCCCGAGCCACUGCUUUUUAAUUAGGGCUGAUACUAGACGAACGAGACGCUGGUGGCCGGUCUCCAGGGAAAUGUUGCGGCGGCUGUGACACUCAGCCGGGUGGCCAACACUGGGGUAUCAAGUGGGUGUUGCAUCACUGAGCCCACAUCCGCCUUGUCUGCUGCAGGGAGACCGGACACGUGUGUCAACGUACGUGGAACCAAAUGCAGCAGCCAGUGCAGGCUGUGCUGGGCUCACGGUCCCAGUUGACGUAUGCCACACCUUCCUUCCGUGCACUCUUGGGGGCUGACACACUCACACCCAUGCCCUCACCUCCACUCAGAGCUCCUGUCUGCAGGCUGCUCCACACCCAGAAAGUCACGCACACAAGCUCUCGUGUCCCGCAUACAGCCCUGUUCUACAGGGAGCCCGAUACCAGCUCACACACACCUCUUUCUCUCUCCGGUGGACCUUUCCAUACGUGGGGCUGCUUUUCAAGUACAAAGACGCCCCAGACUAUUCAGGCAAGCUGUCUGAGGCCGACCUUGAACAAAGACGAGGACCACACGUUUGCUCUGAGUCGUCCCCGCAGGUCCGGAUGGCCAGCUCUGCUCGGACCACGCCCCGCUGGCUCCUGGGGAGUCUCAGAGAGCUGGCCCCGGCCCACGAGAGAGGGAGGAAGUCGCUCCUCUUUUGGAGGGACAGGAAAAGAGCUUUCAUCUACCUGAGAUUAAAUUAUAGCCAGGAGGCACCUCUGAACAGGACCAAACUAGAUAACUGAAAACAUGCAGGCCUACUAUAAAUUCCCAGGAUUUGCAGUCUUUCCUGGACUGCUUUAUCCUUGAGAAGCUCUGGGAGCAAUUCUGUUUGAAAGAGAUCUAGGGGCUCCGUGUGAAAGGGUACGGGCUUCUGGUUAACAGAACGCUUGUUAGCAGAAACCCCCCAGCGCAGAUCCUCGAAUCUUUACUCCCCGCCUGGCCAGGGGCCCCUGGAGACCAGAGAGGAUCCUUCUCUGCCUGGAAGGAGCCAACGAUCCACCCCUGCCCUGUCGCCAGACCUUGCCGGCCCUCGGAGUGACAGGCCACGUGUCCAGGGCCCUACAGCCUUGGACUCAAGCCCUGCUCUGCUCAAGCAGGGUGGGUACUGGCUGGUGGUCAGGGCAAAUCACUUCUAGGAAUGGAAAACGGGGUCCCAAACACCAAAGAUCUUAGAAGGGACUCUGACAUCACAGGGAAUUUGUUGCUCCUCCCUGCCCCCACACCCUGACCUUGACCCUCCCCUCAAAGAACCCAGAGCACAGCUGCAGGAGUCAAAUGAAUCCUAAUCAUAAGGACCAACGAGCGAGAGAGCCAGAGGUGAAAACUUGCUAACUGACAGUCUGUGGGCGCACUUCUGUCCCCCGUCUCUCACCAGGAGGCUUGCCGUCUGGGUGGAAAUAAUGAUUUGAUUUUUUAUCAUUGAUGAGCUCAUGUCUCUCACUCUUCCGCAGCAACCAAAGAAGAAUCUGGUAAGUUUAGAAGACUUUGAAGGAGGGGGGCUUUCCUUUUUGGGGAGACAGCACGGAGCUCAACAGAAGCUGGGGUUCCUUCUCUCUUGUCAAGAAGCAAGAGUGGGAUUGGCCCAAGUCACCUACCAACCUUGGCCCCCAACCCCCCUCCAAGAACAUACAAAGCAGGGCAGGCUCAACGCCCUCUGUCCCAGGAUGAAGCAAGCUGGCCAGUCAAGGCUGCCAGGCUCUGGGAUCCUCACCGCUGUCCUUCUAGCUGAGUCCCCCACCUCUCAUCUGGGACUGGGGCCUCUCGACCCUUGACCUCACCCCUCCCCCAGCCCAGCAGCUUUGCUCGACCCCUCUCAUGGCUUCAACUUCCCACAGACUGCCUGUUCCCCCUGCACACCCCUGCUCAGUGACUGGCCUUUCUGGACGAUGCCCACAGCUCAGGAGAUUGAAUUCAUUCAUAUUUCCAGGUGCUAUACAUUCAGAUGAAGUUCUUCGGAUCUCCUGCCCAGAAAAGGAUAAAUAUUUCUGAUCUAUAGCAAAUGUGUUUUCCUUUAGCUAACAUCUUGGCAGGCAAGUACACUAAUCUCCCAGGAAAAUCUAGGGCCUGAAUAGCAAGCAGGUUUUUUUUUUUCCCUGAGUAAAUAGAAAUUCUGAGUUGCUUUUUUAAUGCUGCCUUUUUUUUUUUUUUUUAAACAGCAGAUCUGGAGAAAAAUCACAGUCCAUUAAAUCUGCAUCUCUUGAAAGAAAAACCCAGAAGGCCACCUCCCCAUCAAAGGCAAAAUGAACAGAGUUUGGAAGUGUGUUUAAAAUGCACCAAGGGAGCAGCGGCCGUCCUAAAUUACCCCACUCAGCCUCAGGAUGCUAGGGGUUGCCAGGAUCCCUAUGAGACAGAGAAGGAAAGGCCGGUGCCAUGUGACCCCAAAGCCGAGCAAAGAGCACACACAGCAAGACCGCAGACUCCCCACAACAUCCUCACAUCACAUUCCUACAUUUUACGGGCUCCUUCUGUAGCCAGACUUAGAUCAGGAAGUGGCCAAGAGGACAAACUCUUCCCCAGCCAUUCCUUGGAGAAGGAGGCUAUGCUUUCCAGUAAUAAAACAAAGGUCAGAGAAUGACUUCGAACAAUAGAUCCGCUGUCGUGUGCCAGGCGCUGGGCAACACCGAGGAGCAGGUGUUUUCCUCCCCAUUUUACUGCCGUGGAAAGUUCUUUCCAUCCCAUUUCCUGCCUCCCGAGCUGCCUUAGGCUUCUGUGAGCCAGAGGCAGGCGGGCAGACUGCACCUGGUCAUGUGCACACCUGAGCAGAGAAUCCUGGGACUUCAGAAGCCACACUACCCACUUAAGCCCUGCCCAGCCCAGCCCAGGGCAGAACGGGUCUACUGGACCAUCUCCUUCCCUUUACCCAAGCUCAUGGCGAAGUCAGCUUAGCUGUGCCUAUGCUCCAGCUGUACCCAAUCCAGUGAUACACAGGAAAUACCCCUACCCAAGAAGACUUGCUUAGCACCUUUCAGUGGGGGUGACCCACCAUGUUCUCUUUGGGGAGGGAGCCCCAUAGCCAAAUGGGAGAGUGCUCCAUCCAGACAGAGCCCUCCACUCAAUCCCUGGAACCAGCUAGUGGCCAUGAGCCUCUAGCUCGCAGGCUCAAACCAAGCUGGGGGGAAGUCCCACAGCAACAAUGUAGGAAAGAGACUUCAGGGGAAGACACAGAUUCAACCACAGCAUCGGUCUCUGUUUUGUCGGAACACCGAGGGCUCUCCAGAAGGAAGCCCAUUAAGUUUGCAUUUUCCAUCAUGAAGCAAGUAAACAAACCCGAGGAAGAGCUGCCCAUCACUGAGCUGGCUUCCCGACAGGAAAUGGUAUGAGUGACUUCGUUUUUAAACAUUAUUAUCCUCUUGAAAGCAAAAGAUAAAGGACGCCUCGGAGCAGCCAAAUUGCUUUGGCUCAAAAAUCAUUUUAAAUACCAUUUCCUUUAACAAGCCUACUGCCUGGGCAACGGAUCAACACUAUUCAUUUUAACCUUAGUCAGUGG
Herpailurus yagouaroundi (jaguarundi) is the source of this 3529-nucleotide long non-coding RNA. RefSeq lists it as uncharacterized. Lineage: Eukaryota; Metazoa; Chordata; Mammalia; Carnivora; Felidae. The transcript is spliced from 2 exons. The record is from RefSeq and is a predicted model, not a curated record.